GUUACAGAGGGAGAAGCGGUUUGCAGCCCCCGCUUUCAGUGGUGGCCGCGCUCAGGGUGCCCCGGCUCCCUCCCUUCCACCCUUGGCCUGACCCUGCUGCUGUUGCUCUGCAGCUUGGGCUGGUGGCGAUGGCUGACGGCAAAGAGGACCCCGCCGUCUUCACCUCCUCUUCUCUGCCCUCGGACCCACGGCUGCUGGCCACGGUCACCAACGCUUACCUGGGCACCCGUGUGUACCGGGACGUCCUCCACGUCAAUGGCGUCUACAAUGGGGCGGUGGGAGACACGCACCGUGCCGACGUCCCCAGCCCCGUCAACGUCAGGAUGAGGGUGCCGGGUGUGGGCAGCCUGGCCGAGACCUUCACCUUGAACACCCGGACGGGAACCUUCAGCCACGUGCUUCAGUCAGCUGACUAUACAGCCACCCAUCACGUCUACGCUCACCAUUCCCUUGUCCACUUGAUGGUCUUCAGCAUCACCAUCCGCCGAUUGGCUCCCACCACCCGACCCGUCACGGUCCAGCUCCACACUCCUUUUGUGCCAACGAGCCAGGACUUGGACCUGAACCAAGGGCCAGACUUCCAGGGAGCACACUACGUCUACGGGCAGACGCUGGUUCCCGAGGUGGAGGGGGGACCCCGUCCCACCGUCCACAUGCUCUGGACGCCGGUGCCGCAAGCCUUGACGCUGGGCGGGGAGGAGCGGGAGCGACGCUGGGAGUUCCUGACAGCCGUGGCCGAGAGCGAAGAGGAGGCGAAGGGGAGCUACAGCGAGGGGCUGGCCCUGGCGGCUGCCGGCUCCCUGCACUCCUCCCAUGCCCGCGCGUGGGCCGCGCUGUGGCAAGGAUGCUCCGUAGACCUGGAUGGACCUCUGCCGUUGCGGCAGGCCCUCCGUGGGUGUCUCUACUACCUGCUGAGCGCCAUCCCGCCCCGGGGCAGCCCAGGCUUCCUCUUCCACGGCAUCAGCCCUGGCGGCUUGUCCAACGGCACUCGAGGCGAGGACUACUGGGGACACGUCUUCUGGGACCAGGACACCUGGAUGUUCCCAAACAUUCUGCUGUUUUACCCUGAAGCUGCCCGAGCCAUCCUGGAGUACCGGAUUCGCACGCUGGACGGAGCCUUAUGCAACGCGCAGGAGCAAGGCUACAAGGGUGCUAAGUUCCCAUGGGAGAGUGCAGCCACUGGCCGGGAAGUCUGCCCGGAGGAGAUCUAUGGAGCCCAAGAAAUCCACAUCACUGGGGACGUUUUGAUGGCCUUUGAGCAGUAUUACUACACCACGCAGGACCAGAAGCUGUUCCGGGAGGAUGGAGGCUGGGAGCUGGUGGAUGCCGUGGCUCAGUACUGGUGCAGCAGGAUGGUGUGGAGCGAGGAGGAGCAAUGCUACCACAUCAGAGGUGUCAUGCCCCCCGACGAGCAUCACUGCCGGGUUGAUAACUCUGCCUACACCAACGCCGUGGCCCAGCGGAGCUUAAAUUUUGCAGCUGACGUUGCUCGGGACUUGUUGAUCCCUGUGCCAGAGGAGUGGGCGGACUGUGCCAAGAAACUCAAAGUGCCCUUUGAUGUGGAGAAGAAAUACCAUCCCGAGUACGACGGUUACAGCCCAGGAGAGCCCGUGAAACAGGCUGACGUCGUCUUGCUGGGAUUCCCGCUGAUGCACCCCAUGAGCCCUGAGGUCCGGAGAAAUGACCUGGAGAUGUAUGAACCCGCCACUGAGCCGGGUGGGCCAGCCAUGACCUGGAGCAUGUUUGCAGUGGGCUGGCUGGAGCUAAAGGAGGUGCAGAGAGCCCAGAGCCAACUGAACAAGUGUUUCAGCAACAUCACGGAGCCCUUCAAGAUUUGGGUGGAGAACUCAGACGGGUCAGGAGCUGUGAACUUCUUGACGGGGAUGGGCGGAUUCUUGCAAGCCGUCCUCUUUGGCUACACAGGGUUCAGGAUCAUGAAGACCAGCCUUCGCUUCGACCCUGCCCUUCCCGACGACAUCGACAGGCUGAAAGUCACCGGCGUCUCCUACUUGGGCACCAAACUGACGUUCACCAUCACCAGAGAAGAGAUGAGGAUCACAGUGACCGAGUCUCCGGGGCACCCUGUGGCAUCUCCCCUGGAAGCUGUGCUGGAGGCGUCGGGGCAGCGGCUUGCCCUGCCUGGAGGGCAGAGCGUCUCCUUCCCCACGGCAGCCGGCUGGAUUCACAGGUCACCCACCGAGACACCUUAGACCUUGGCUGGUCUGGGCUUUCCUCACCAAAGCAGCAGAAACAAGGUGAAGAGCAAAUGUCGGCGGAGGGGGAAGGGACCCGCUGGGGGGCUUCUGCUUUCCUGCAAGGAGUCUCAGCUCCCCUCGGAGGGAUGACAUCUCGUCUGCUCGAGUGUGGCCCCACGGGGCCAAGAAACUUCUCCGCUUCUUUCCCCUCCUCAGCAGCCGGUGAGAACCCGACGCGCUGCGGCUGUUUUAGGCUGGGUGGCUCUAAGGGUCGUGGAGAUUGUUCCUUCUGGCCCCGAAGGGCGUGAUCAGAGUGAAAAGCCAUAUUUAUAUGGUCCCUUUAUCCCCCCCCCACCCUACACACACGCACGCAGAAGACUGGCAAUGUGUGAUAUGGUUUAAUGGUUUAAAUAGCGACCACGGAGGCCGGAGGGAUGCUGUGCUCCACACAGGAUAAAUGGAAGUAAAAAAAAAACCAAACCAAGUUAAACAAAAAUAACUGAGCUGCCCCCAGAAGUGUGGCCGGGAACCGGGGUCGGGCACCGCGGGGCUGGGGGUGCUGGAUCAGGCGGGGGGGGCGAGGGGAGAUGCAGCCUGUGGGGCUGCCGCCGCCCAGACCCGUGGGCACGAAAGCUUGCGGACACAGCCCCGGGUGGCAGAGACGGGUGGUGGCUGGGUUAUACUGGACCAGUGGUCUGUUUGGGUGGGCCACCAGCGGUGCGAAGGAGUUUCUACAAGCCCUUCGCCCACCGGUCAGUUGUCCUCCUCGUCGCUCGGGCUGAACUGGUAGGUGAAGAAGCCGACGGACUCCUGGGCCAGCUUGGAGAGGUGGAUGACGCCCGUGAUGACCAGGGCGGCCAGCAGCAGCGGCAGCACCACGCUCCCCGCCGUGGCCAGCACGUUGUAGCACCUGGCCUUGGAGCUGAAGCGCCGAGCGGCUUCCACGUCCCCAGACGCUUUCCGGUCCCGUGCCUGCAACAGCCGAGAGACGGGGCAGCAGCGCCCGGGCUGCCCCCAGCCCCCUCCCCGUGCCCCCUCCCAGCCUGGCUACGGGGCUUCGGCUCCCCCCCACCAGCCCCCAGUUUAGUCCCCUGGGGGACCCCCACCAGCCAAGAGGGUGGCUCUCCAUCCAUCCCUGGCCGCCCGCGCUGCUGCUCCCCUCGGCCCCCCUUUCUUUGCCGCUGGGAUUUUCUCUUUCGGAGCCUCGCUGGCUCCAGCCCUGGCUUUCCCCCGUCUCUCCACCCUGGUCCCGUCCAGCUGGAGCUGCUCCUGCCACAGGGCAGGCGGAGGGGCCGGGGGCACCGUGGCCCCCCAGCACCUUCCAGGAAGAAGCAGUUGGUCCUCCAGUGGAGGCAGGGGGCUGUGGCUAUCUUCGGGGGGGGAGGUCUCACAGCCGCAUUAAUAGGUGGCAGGAAAAGUGUGGGGGCUUUACCAAGGGAUGGCAUCGCCUGCAAGCAGCCUCUUGAGGGUGUUGGGCUCUCACCCCCCCGGCCCAGCCCUCCCGAGGAGUUGUUUCAGAUGCCCUGCGCCUCCUGGGGGAGUCCAGCCCUUGGAGGGCUCCCAGGUGACCCCAAACGUUGAGUCUCCCACCCCCGCUCGGCGCCCAUACCUUGACGGAGAAGGCGAGCGCCACGAAGCCGAGACAGCAGAAGUUCAUGUAGAUGGUGUUGAAGAUGGACCAGACGAGGUGGUCGCGGGGCGGCGUGGGGACGAGGCCGGUGGGAGAUGGGUCGCGCUUGUGGGAUGGCACGGGCAGGUAGUCCUCCCGCGGGUAGGAGGUGUCCAUGGCCACGGAGAGGGGCACCCCGCGGCUCUCCUGCUCCACCAGCCUGGCUGGGGCCGCCGGGCAGGGCAGCCCCUUUAUAUCGUCCCUGUCUAUGGCGUGGCCUCCUCUCCUCUAUAUAUAAACCCUAGAAAUUACAGCCCUCCCGGGCUGUGGUUGUCAGAAAGGCUUGGCUGGCAGCUAGGAGAAACAAACUUGGCUUCGCAAGUCUACGGGCUUUUUAUAUCCAGCCUUCCUCCCGCGAUGAGGAGCGCAGACGGCUCCAGCGUGACCCAGGAGAGGCUGAGCGCUCGGGGAGGACCGUGGGAAUAGAGCCAUGGGACGACCUUAACACCAAGUGGCCCUCACCCCGAGGGGCCGAUACGAGACAGACCCUCGGUGCCGGGAUCUCUCCCUGCGCUGGCUCGCACCGACACCUUCAGCCCCGUCCCUCCAGGUGGUCUUGUCUGGGAAGACCCCUUGUUCGCAGCGCGUUUGGGCCACCGGAUGGAUGCAUUAAAUGGGAACUUAAUACCAAAACGUGGAAAAGCUACUUCUCUGGGGUUCCCUGGAACUGGGAGGAGAUGGGGCUGUGUGGUGGGAUGGGGUGUGCAAGGACAGAAAAACACAGAGAUUUAUUCUUUUUUCUUUCCUUUUUCUGCCACGCCUAAGCUUUUAGGAAGAAACUUAUCUGGGAUCUGGGCUCUGCACU
Chroicocephalus ridibundus (black-headed gull) is the source of this 4669-nucleotide RNA transcript. It is a transcript of the gene named protein-glucosylgalactosylhydroxylysine glucosidase, with no coding region annotated. NCBI's taxonomy places the organism in Eukaryota, Metazoa, Chordata, Aves, Charadriiformes, Laridae. The record is from RefSeq and is a predicted model, not a curated record. The transcript is spliced from 14 exons.